Long non-coding RNA from Homo sapiens (human), 705 nucleotides. Ensembl annotates it as Prader-Willi region non-protein coding RNA 1. Its record names the gene PWRN1. NCBI's taxonomy places the organism in Eukaryota, Metazoa, Chordata, Mammalia, Primates, Hominidae. The record is from Ensembl.
GCAGAGGCCGUUCAGGGGGUAUUCUGGUUGCCUUACCCAGCUCUGAAGUCUGUCAGCCUCUUCAGAUGUCACUUGCCCUGUGGUAAGGAAGUGUAGUUGGCAGCUGGUGCAGUGGCAAGAAGAGAAAGGAAGUUCCCCAAGACAGAAACAUCUCGGCAGGUUUGGAAUAGUUCACCAGUGAAGUCAUCUCAACCAGCACAGGGCCUUGACUCCUAACAACAAUCACACGAACUUGGAAGAGGAUCCUUCCCCAGCUGAAACUUCACUUGAGACCUUCUCAUUGGCCAUCAUCGACAUCUGGAUUCAUGAUACAGAGAAACUUGAGUAAUGAUGACAAUAGCAGUCCAGCCUGCAUGGAUGCUGACAUGGAUGCUGUCUCCCAUUCUUACCACUGGAUGUCAAGAACUGCUAGAUGCGAUCCAGCCAGUCUGUACUCGACUCUCAGUUCCAUCUUCUCAACUCACAGUGUCUUCCAAAGUCCAUGCCACACCACAGCCUGGAAGAUCUCCCAAGGUGGUAUCUUGAGGCAAUGGUAGAGCUCAUGUCACAGUAUUGUAUGCCUCAGGUAUCACUGUCCUUCACUCUUUGAUAUAAUCUCUCUACAAACCAUUGUUCCAUACACUUUGCCCCUUUUGUGUUUGUUUAUACAUGUGGUAUGGCAUGUCUAAACCUCACAGUGAGGAUAUUAGAAUAGGGUUCUGCAUA